AUGAAGGGGGUGAUGUCCUGCAGGACCUAGCACAACAUUAUUUGCGUGCACUUCCUCUUCAGGCAGCAGACCGGAGCCGAGGAGAAGAGCAGGAGACCGGAGGGUAACACUCAGCUCUGCACAAAUGAGUUGUGAAUGUUGCUGCAACAAAUAUGACUUGGCACU
Long non-coding RNA from Coregonus clupeaformis (lake whitefish), 165 nucleotides. RefSeq lists it as uncharacterized. The transcript is spliced from 3 exons. The record is from RefSeq and is a predicted model, not a curated record. NCBI's taxonomy places the organism in Eukaryota, Metazoa, Chordata, Actinopteri, Salmoniformes, Salmonidae.